UUGGCCUAAUCUAUCAGAUUGUGUCAGGGAUCAAGGGGCCCAGAGUGCCAUGCUUGUUGGCUUCAUGGACUCUGGAGCGAGCUGCUUGGCUUUGAGCCUGCCUCUGUCCCAGCUAAGUGGGGUCGUCCAAGUCUCAGUUCUUCUGUUUUCAAAGUGAGAAUGACCAUGGCUCCCUCCUCUAGGUUAUCACAGCUAUCGACAGCUAAUCCAUGUGGUGUUCCUGGCUGUGAGGGCUGAAGCUAUCAACACGUGUGUUAGCCAGUGUCCUUAUUUUUAAAAUAAUGACCACUUUUGAGCAUACCAGUCAGUGCUAUGCCCACAGUCAUGUGCUGGGGAGUCCACAGAGACUUUGAGCUCACAGCGUUUGAACCCCAGUUCUCCACUUCUCCCCAGCCCACACCCCCUCAUCGUCUCACCCUUUAUCUUCCUGACUCCAGGUCCCCAAAGCUAUGGCACAAAGUCCAGAGACCUCUUCUUCCCCCGGUACACUUCCUGUAGCCUUGGGACAGAUCCUCUUGCUCCAGCAGCCCUCAGUGGACACCUCCUCACCGUCCACCCCUCUUCAGACCCCUGUGACACACAACCCCGAGAUGCUCCUGGCACACACCCAUGAGGCCUUCUGUGUUAGUCAGCAACUGGCUUCUCUGGCUGUCCUGGAACUUGCUCUGUAAACCAGACUGCCCUUAAAAUUAGAGAUCCGCCGCCUUUUAUCUCCCGAGUGCUGGGAUUAAAAAGUGAAUAAAAGCUGUGAUUGACCGAGCGCGUGCAGAACCCUAAGGAAGCUCCAUGGCCUCAGAAUGGUCAUUCUAGGUACGCAGAGAUGUUCACUGAGAUGGAAGAGCAUGGAAUUGACCCGGCAAGGAAACCAAAGUCCUGCCUCGGGAGUUCACUCCACCCGUAUCCACCCUCCUGGACAGCCACGAUGCAGGGUGUUGCUUCCAUCCACUGCCUCUGUGGAUCUCCAGUCUUCAAGCCUGCCUAGGCUGCCCUCUUCAUGAAGAAGCGCGCUGCCUCCACAUCUGAGGAAUGUUCCAGACCUGCAAAGAGGAAGAGCUUAUGUGUGGCCAGAUGAUCUGGGUUAAGGGGUAGCAGGGAGACCCUUGGUAUCUGGUCUGGAAACUCACAGACAUCCUCCUGCUUCUGCCUCCUGAAUGCUGGGAUUAAAGAUGACAGUGGUGGACACAGCUCAACAGCUUCUUCAAGGUCACACGCCUAAGGAGCAGAACCAAGUUUACACUGAGCCAAAGGCCCCUCCCGACACACUUGGCUGGUUCACCACAUCCUCAGAAGAGCCAUCCUUCCGGAUCCCAUGUAAAGAGUUCUAUCCUAGGUCGUGCAGACGAGUAGAACCAAUCAUGAUCCUAACUCAGGCCCAAAUACCCCCAACUGUAACUCCUCACCUACAUCCCCAGCUCCACCAGGAUUUGGGUGUUUUGAGAUUUUUCUUAAAACUCCCGUACCUCCUUUGAAAUGGAAUCAAAAGCGAAAGCUGACUUAUACCUGAGCUAAGAAAGGCACGAGAGUUUAUUUUCUUUAUUUUUGGGAAGAAGAUUCGGUGAACUCCGCUUCUCAGCGGACUGAUUUUUCGGUGCUCUGGAGACUACGUUCUUCGAGGAUCCCCU
Arvicola amphibius (Eurasian water vole) is the source of this 1622-nucleotide long non-coding RNA. RefSeq lists it as uncharacterized. The transcript has 6 exons. The record is from RefSeq and is a predicted model, not a curated record. NCBI's taxonomy places the organism in Eukaryota, Metazoa, Chordata, Mammalia, Rodentia, Cricetidae.